UGGGGAAUUUUGGACAAUGGGGGCAACCCUGAUCCAGCAACGCCGCGUGAAUGAAGAAGGCCUUCGGGUUGUAAAGUUCUUUUGUUUGGGAGCAAAGUGCCUAUGCUAAUACCAUAGGUAGAUGAGAGUACCAAAAGAAUAAGCACCGGCUAACUACGUGCCAGCAGCCGCGGUAAUACGUAGGGUGCGAGCGUUAAUCGGAAUUACUGGGCGUAAAGCGUGCGCAGGCUGACAUAUAAGUUAGAUGUGAAAUCCUUGAGCUUAACUUAAGAAUUGCAUUUAAUACUGUAUGUCUAGAGUCUAUCAGAGGGGGGUAGAAUUCCAAGUGUAGCAGUGAAAUGCGUAGAUAUUUGGAGGAAUACCGAUGGCGAAGGCAGCCCCCUGGGAUAAGACUGACGCUCAUGUACGAAAGCGUGGGUAGCAAACAGG
This 429-nucleotide ribosomal RNA is filed under the name uncultured bacterium. RNAcentral describes it as "bacterial SSU rRNA". It matches the Rfam family "Bacterial small subunit ribosomal RNA", at positions 355 to 776 of the family's 1533-position model. The record is from RNAcentral.